Panonychus citri (citrus red mite) is the source of this 1965-nucleotide long non-coding RNA. RefSeq lists it as uncharacterized. The transcript is spliced from 4 exons. The record is from RefSeq and is a predicted model, not a curated record. NCBI's taxonomy places the organism in Eukaryota, Metazoa, Arthropoda, Arachnida, Trombidiformes, Tetranychidae.
UGGAAAUGAAUCAAUUUUCAUUUAAUUUCUUUCGAGUAAAUUAAUUGUUGUUAAUUAAAAAGCUGUUAUAUUGUUUUUUCUUUUGUUUAAUUUACUUUAUCAUCAUCGUGUGAACGUAAUUAGUAAAAAUAAUAGUUGUUUUGUUUACCAUUCAAUUGGUUUUCUAUUACUUUUUGUCUUCACCUUUUUUGCUAAACUUAAAUAUUGACUUGUUCUCAAGGACAUGGAUUUUUUUAAUUAUGUGAUUCGUUUUUUUCCUUUCCGGUAAAUAGUAAUUCAAUUAGCCAAGUAAUUGGUUAAGAGUUGAAGAGUUACCGGUGUACCGAUAAUUAGGUAAUCAUGUAGAGCAUUUUUUUCGCCCUCGUUUAAUUAUUGGGAUGGUAAUUGGAAAACUUUACAAACUGGACCUAAUAACAUGUAACAAUGGACUUUGGAUGAAUCCAAAAUUUAUUGAUGGAAAGGAAUCAAAAGAGGAUAGAAAGAUAGAAAAGAGAAAUGAAAAAAAAAGAAGGAUCCAAUUCGAUUAGCAGAAGAAGGAACUAGAAUUUUUAACCCAGUGAAAUAUAAUAAGGAUUCGGUGUGUUAUAAUAUGAGACUCUUAAUGGUUAGUUACAGUGACCUAAAAAUAAAAAUUGAUCCAAAAUGAUGGCAAAGUAAAAAGGGGAUUCAGUUGAUUCAGUCAGUCUCAGUGUUUGAACAUUGAAAGAUGAUUAUUUGAACACUUGGUUAAUACACACACACAUACACACUGGAAUAUUGAUUAGCCAACCAACCAAUCAACUAAGUUAAAAAUAUCAAUUUCAGGGAUCAGAUAUUAGUCCUGAACCUGAGAUACCCUGGAUCAAGGACAAAACUGUGGCAAUUUACGCACAAUCAAGAAAAUACAAUUACGACGAAAGCAAAUGAAGAAUCAUAAACCCUUUACCAGCAAUAAAUACAAUGCGAUAACAAUAACAAGAGGAUCAAGUGAACCAUUAAAUACCAAAUCCAUUGGACAAUUAGCCAAGAAAAUGAGCCUGACGAUUAUGUUAAUUAUCAUUAUUGUAAUCAACAUGAUAAUCAAAAAAUGAUGAAACGAUUUGCUGUUUUAUUGUUACUCAUUAGACAUUAUUAUCAUCGUCAUUACUACGUUAUUACAGUUAUAGACCCUAUUGUUAUUUAUUAUUUCAUCUGACAAUUAACUAACCAACCAGCCAAUCAAUUGACAUUGAAUUUGCACCAACCAUCAACACACAGAAUUAACAAUGAUACACUGAUCAUAAUAAUAGAAAAUUUAAUUUCAAGGUUACAUGGAAGUCAAUUCACCUUCUUCACCUUCAUCUCUCUCUCUCUCUCUCCUUGAUUGUAAACAACAGUUAUGAUGAUGAUAAUAAUCUCGAUGAUGAUAAAUGAUGAUAAUGAAAUAAUAACAAAAGAGGUAGAAAAAAAAUCUCAAUCGGAAAUUAUGAUUUCUAAUUAUCCUUGAUUAUCAAAAGGAAAAAAAAGAUGAGAUGAGAUUUUGUUGUUGUUUUUCCUUUAAUCAUCAAUUUCAUUGAUUAGUUGAUUGUUGAAAUGAUUUAAAUGACGUUAACUCUCAUUAUCGAUUAACAAUCAAAAUAAAUUCAUAUUUUUCCCUCAAUAAGUAAUCAAAUUACAGUUGAAAACCUUAAAACCAAAGUUGUAAAAUUGUCAAUCCAUUGGAUGAUUAGUUAAUUGUAACUGUUUUUUUUUCAUUUCCGAUUCGAACAAUUAAUUUUCAAAUUUCCCUUCUAAUAACAAUUAACUUUUACCUUGUUGGUAUUUAAUUGUUUAAUUGUGAUAAAUUUAGUUGGUCAUCAAUUGUGAUGAAAUUAGAUGAUUAGUAUUAAUUAUUGUUAAGAUCUCGCUAAAGGUAAAUUGUUAAUUAAUAAAUUGUGUGUCUGUAAACAAUAAUGAUCAAGGUCAAUGUUUAUUAACUAAUUAAAAGAAGCUCAGAUUUUGUAAUAA